This 303-nucleotide ribosomal RNA is filed under the name uncultured bacterium. RNAcentral's name for it is "partial 16S ribosomal RNA". It matches the Rfam family "Bacterial small subunit ribosomal RNA", at positions 507 to 807 of the family's 1533-position model. The record is from RNAcentral.
AGCAGUAGCCGCGGUAAUACGAAGGGGGCUAGCGUUGUUCGGAAUCACUGGGCGUAAAGCGCACGUAGGCGGACACUUAAGUCAGAGGUGAAAUCCCAAGGCUCAACCUUGGAACUGCCUUUGAUACUGGGUGUCUUGAGUUCGGGAGAGGUGAGUGGAACUGCGAGUGUAGAGGUGAAAUUCGUAGAUAUUCGCAAGAACACCAGUGGCGAAGGCGGCUCACUGGCCCGAUACUGACGCUGAGGUGCGAAAGCGUGGGGAGCAAACAGGAUUAGAUACCCCUGUAGUCCCUGUCUCUUAUAC